RNAcentral lists this ribosomal RNA (703 nucleotides) under Burkholderia pseudomallei. Its description in RNAcentral is "bacterial SSU rRNA". It matches the Rfam family "Bacterial small subunit ribosomal RNA", at positions 1 to 693 of the family's 1533-position model. Lineage: Bacteria; Pseudomonadati; Pseudomonadota; Betaproteobacteria; Burkholderiales; Burkholderiaceae. The record is from RNAcentral.
AUUGAACUGAAGAGUUUGAUCCUGGCUCAGAUUGAACGCUGGCGGCAUGCCUUACACAUGCAAGUCGAACGGCAGCACGGGCUUCGGCCUGGUGGCGAGUGGCGAACGGGUGAGUAAUACAUCGGAACAUGUCCUGUAGUGGGGGAUAGCCCGGCGAAAGCCGGAUUAAUACCGCAUACGAUCUGAGGAUGAAAGCGGGGGACCUUCGGGCCUCGCGCUAUAGGGUUGGCCGAUGGCUGAUUAGCUAGUUGGUGGGGUAAAGGCCUACCAAGGCGACGAUCAGUAGCUGGUCUGAGAGGACGACCAGCCACACUGGGACUGAGACACGGCCCAGACUCCUACGGGAGGCAGCAGUGGGGAAUUUUGGACAAUGGGCGCAAGCCUGAUCCAGCAAUGCCGCGUGUGUGAAGAAGGCCUUCGGGUUGUAAAGCACUUUUGUCCGGAAAGAAAUCAUUCUGGCUAAUACCCGGAGUGGAUGACGGUACCGGAAGAAUAAGCACCGGCUAACUACGUGCCAGCAGCCGCGGUAAUACGUAGGGUGCGAGCGUUAAUCGGAAUUUUACUGGGCGUAAAGCGUGCGCAGGCGGUUUGCUAAGACCGAUGUGAAAUCCCCGGGCUCAAACCUGGGAACUGCAUUGGUGACUGGCAGGCUAGAGUAUGGCAGAGGGGGGUAGAAUUCCACGUGUAGCAGUGAAAUGCGUAG